Long non-coding RNA from Centruroides sculpturatus (bark scorpion), 315 nucleotides. RefSeq lists it as uncharacterized. The transcript is spliced from 3 exons. Lineage: Eukaryota; Metazoa; Arthropoda; Arachnida; Scorpiones; Buthidae. The record is from RefSeq and is a predicted model, not a curated record.
UUAUCAUGAAUAGAAUUAGAUAUUUGGUUACUUGAAUAAUGAGUAAUUUAUAGUUUAUUUUCUAAAAGACAUUUUGAAUUGAAUAAAUUUUAUUCAUUGAAUUUAUAUAUAAUUAUUUACCAUCUGACAGAGAGUUUAUCCGUAAAUCACUCCAAAAUUUUACAAAUAUGCAUAAAUAAAAGUUAACAUAAUGAAAAAUAAACUGACAACAGUCCAUCACUUACAAUCUGCUUUUGAAGAAGCUAUUAGUUAUUCAAAAUAUCAGCCCUCCAAAGGUUAUUGGUGGGAAUUUAAAGAUCAUGAUUCUUCAGGUAA